RNAcentral lists this ribosomal RNA (425 nucleotides) under uncultured bacterium. Its description in RNAcentral is "partial 16S ribosomal RNA". It matches the Rfam family "Bacterial small subunit ribosomal RNA", at positions 354 to 796 of the family's 1533-position model. The record is from RNAcentral.
GUGGGGAAUCUUGCGCAAUGGGCGAAAGCCUGACGCAGCCAUGCCGCGUGAAUGAUGAAGGUCUUAGGAUUGUAAAAUUCUUUCACCGGGGACGAUAAUGACGGUACCCGGAGAAGAAGCUCCGGCUAACUUCGUGCCAGCAGCCGCGGUAAUACGAAGGGGGCUAGCGUUGCUCGGAAUUACUGGGCGUAAAGGGCGCGUAGGCGGACAGCUUAGUCAGAGGUGAAAGCCCAGGGCUCAACCUUGGAAUUGCCUUUGAUACUGGCUGUCUUGAGUUUGGGAGAGGUGAGUGGAACUCCGAGUGUAGAGGUGAAAUUCGUAGAUAUUCGGAAGAACACCAGUGGCGAAGGCGACAUACUGGCUCAUUACUGACGCUGAGGCGCGAAAGCGUGGGGAGCAAACAGGAUUAGAAACCCCAGUAGUCC